AAACGACUCUCGACAACGGAUAUCUCGGCUCUCGCAUCGAUGAAGAACGUAGUGAAAUGCGAUACUUGGUGUGAAUUGCAGAAUUCCGUGAACCAUCGAGUCUUUGAACGCAAGUUGCGCCCGAAGCCAUUAGGCCGAGGGCACGCCUGCCUGGGCGUCUCGCAA
This 165-nucleotide ribosomal RNA is filed under the name Alangium villosum. Its description in RNAcentral is "5.8S ribosomal RNA". It matches the Rfam family "5.8S ribosomal RNA". From Rfam's summary of the family: 5.8S ribosomal RNA (5.8S rRNA) is a component of the large subunit of the eukaryotic ribosome. It is transcribed by RNA polymerase I as part of the 45S precursor that also contains 18S and 28S rRNA. The record is from RNAcentral. Lineage: Eukaryota; Viridiplantae; Streptophyta; Magnoliopsida; Cornales; Cornaceae.